Long non-coding RNA from Telopea speciosissima, 109 nucleotides. RefSeq lists it as uncharacterized. The record is from RefSeq and is a predicted model, not a curated record. The transcript has 3 exons. Lineage: Eukaryota; Viridiplantae; Streptophyta; Magnoliopsida; Proteales; Proteaceae.
AAGUCUGAUCAUUGCACUAGGAACUCCAAGUCAAAACUUAGCUGGGACUCUUUCUCCAAGUAUAGGGAACUUGAAUAAUCUCCAGAAAUUGCUUUUACAGAACAAUAAC